RNAcentral lists this long non-coding RNA (4104 nucleotides) under Anas zonorhyncha (Eastern spot-billed duck). RNAcentral describes it as "lncRNA (ENSAZOG00000001152.1)". The record is from RNAcentral. Lineage: Eukaryota; Metazoa; Chordata; Aves; Anseriformes; Anatidae.
CUUAGAUGGUGGAAGCAAGCAGCACAUCCUGAAGCAUUGCUGUCCUUGGCAGUCAGUGCAGAACUGCAACAUAGGAGAGAUGAUGGUGACCUCUUCUUUGCAACAUGGGAAGGCCAAACUGGGACUCGUGGGAGAGAAAUUCUGUGACAAAGCUGAAAGUCACACCUGCACCUCUGAAGUCUCACCCUGCAGACUGAAGCAGCCAACCUCACUGUCGGAUUUCCACGAGCAAGGGAAGCCACAGCCCCAUGAUUGUAAUAAAUGUCAGAAGUACAGCAUGUUAUAUGAGGGAUUUGUCAUUAAGCAGCCUGGGAUAAAUACAACACGUCCAGUUCAGUGGAAACAGUUUCAUUGCAUUGCUUGGUCUCACCUUCAUCGUUUUCACCUCCAUUUAAAGCUACCCGAAGCAAAGUGAGUUCCAAUGAGAACACAAGCACUGAUCAAGUACAUCUGUUCCUGUCCAGGGGAAAUGGAUUUUAUAGCAUUCCAGACCAUGCACAAAGCAUGAGGAAGACAGCAUAUGUAAUGGAUGCUGUAGGAGCUGGAGAAAGAAGCUACAGCAGUGGCGGUCCUGCUGCCCAUGCCUGUGGCUCUUCUGUGCCACAGGGCUGUGGAGGCUCAGCAAUGAUCUGCGUUUGGAAACUUUCAGCUCUUGACUUUGCUCCAUCCUCUGCCCUCUGACUUCCCAGAAAGCAGAAAGCUUCCCAGAAAACAGAAAGCUCCUGCACAGGCCGAUGGACUAUUACUAGUGCCUCCUGUCCUGAGGAAUUUGGCAAGAAAAUUAAGAGUAUUGCAACCUGUUUUCAAAAGAAGCCGUUUAGAGGAAGAACCUCUAACCAAGCACAAAACACUCUUCCAACUGGGUUCCACUAUAGCAGCAAGGGAGGGUAUCAAAAUUUUCUCUUUCCUCACUUUUCUGUUGUUAUCUAUGUAUAGUAAAUUACACAGUUAAUAAUAAUAACAAUAAUAAUAACAAUAACAACAAUAAUAAUAAUAAUAAAAUUCACAAAUGUUGCUGGUAUUUUAUUUGAAUAAUGCACGUGAUGACCAGCGUUUGGAGUGCUACAGAUCCCAUACAGGAAACUAAAUUAUUCUUCAGAUUAUUUGAAGGACGGUGGCGUUGUUCACCAGACAGCAUGCCUGCAGGUGAUCUCUGUGGAGACACGAGUCCUCUCGGCCCGGAGCUCACAACCACCUGCACAGGUCUGUGGCGACACACCGUGACUACCCAUGGGCAAGGAGCGAGGCCAGAGCAGCGGGCCUGGCUGGGCCUCCUCGUGCAGCCUGCAGCAUGGGCUGUGGCCAAGGCGGGGAACAAGGAGCCUCCAAUACCACUUUUCUCCUCCUCUUUGCAGGCUGAAUAAUAAAUGUUGCUAAGGAAGUCCCGUGACUGGGAAAAAGUCUCUCACAGCUCCUGCUUUUGCCAUCAUCACUUGGGAUAUUUAAUCUUGCAGCAGCACAUGAGGGCUGGUGGGUGCCACAGGGGCCAGCACCAUCCCCACCAGUGGCAGCUCCAGCUCCGAAAUGUGAUGAGCAGGGUGAGACAAGCCCAUCACAACAGAAAGCUGAAGGCAAAAAAGGCCAAGCUCUCAUAGUGAUAAGCGGUUUCCAGGUUGCAGUUCCUGCAUAUACUGAUUUUUCUCAGCAGGAAACAGAAUUUUCCCCAUAUUUCCACUGUAGCGAAAAAGUGACUCUCUCUCUUCAUCAGCGAUAAUGUACAUGUCAGAGUUGAAAAAGUCAGGUCAAUAGUUAUUAGCUUCUUGAAACAUUAUGUCUUGAAAUAUGAGGGCUUUGGUUUCAGUACACAUACACAGGCUGCCACUGGGGAAUGUGGGAGAUCAGACUGGGCCCUCCAGGCCUGGCCCACCGCAGGAACUGCUGCAAGACGGGGUGAGGGAAGGGCUGCAGUCUCUGGGGCGAGAUGUGGUCCCCGUGUUUUUUCAGGACAGAAUACAGUGCAUUCUUACAAAAUUAUUUGGAACAAUUUUGUCUCUGCCCCAGAAACUUGCUUUCACUCAUUCACUUGUAGCCCAAUCAUCCCUUCAUCACAUUCACCAUUAAGACUUGUGUAAAGGGUGCUGCAGGAAGCUAAAAGAAAGGAAAAAUAAAUAACAUGCAUAGGGUUUGAAAAAAAAAAUAAUGAUAUUGUUUCUUUGCUACAGAGAAGCCAUACUAGUGCUUCCUACCAAGAACAGCUUACAGGCUUAUCACGGGUCAGAGAUGGUUUCAUCGACAUGUUGCUGCUCCCUCUGCCAUGCUCUGACCUUGGGCAGGUAAUUUAUCUGGUCGGUGCACCAGUUUUCCCUUCUGCUGAAUGGGGGAAUUGAAUUUUACCUUAUAGGGGCAUGCUGCGAACCUGCAGAGUUUUAAGGCUGACAGGAGCAGACCUAAUAAAAGGAGAAGGUACAGGGCCCUCAGGCAGACAGCUCUGGGUGCGUGUCGCUGGUCUCUGCCCUCACAAUGCAUUUUAUAAACACAAGCAGAAGGCAUUCAGAAAAGAGAAAGUCUUAGUAAAAAUUAAACGCGAGAUUAGCUACUAUUCAAAGUCAUAAAAUUAAAUUUAAGAGUUCUAAAUUAUGAGAGCUUUCAAAUUGAAAUGCUGCACAAUUAGCUCAAACAGAGCAGAAAUAAAAAAACAUUUAUAGCCAGCUCCCUCCUGCUUCCAGUUGGCAGCCGCAAUCACUGUGAUGAUUGUCCAAGCUUCAGCACGCUCCGCUCGGGAGCCUUGCAGCACCUCAGCAGGUCCCUGCAGGAUUGUACCCACAAUGUGGCCAUGCCACUGUGCCACCGUGCCACCAUGCCACUCUGCCAUCAAGCCACUGUGCCACCAGCACUCCCCUGCCCCAGCAGCAGCAGCCCCUGCCUUGUGCCCUGGCUUCCCCCAGUCCACCCACAUCCUCCAAGUGGAUUUUUUGGGAGGAAGGUGAAGUGGUGAUUAGGGGUUUCAGUUGGUUGGGUGGGUGUUUUCACUAUUAAAGGGUAAAAAUGGAUAAAUAUUACAAUAUUUUUCUCUCUGUUAUUUUUUUCUAUAAACACUAAUUCACAAAAUCUGGACUUUUGGCAUCCCAGAGGGGUGAAGCGCGUGGCCUGAUGAGGGGGAGAGCAGCAAAGGGAGGCUGCAGGCUGCCAAACAGCAUGCAGAGCAGGUACUGAGCCUGCCACUUUCACACUGUAGUUCAUAUGGCGCAGGCCCUCGAGGGGUUGCUGGUCAUGGCCAUUUUGGCUGUGCAGAAUCACCAGCCCUUGCUGCUUUCCACUCUCCUGGUCAUCCUGCUCCUCUGGGAUCGCUGGUGACCAAAUGGUCUCUCUGAAACUCCAUGUCCCAGACAUUUAUUUGUGGCAGUUCCNNNNNNNNNNUUCUAUUUUCAAACCAGAUGUUUUUUUUUUUUUUUUUUUUUUUUUUAUUCCUGGUGUCCAUUGAUUUUCCUACCGAGCCUCUCCUCCUAAAUGCAGGACCAUGGCACAUGCCUUGUUACUUCAUGCUGAAAUAAAACCAUUCUACAAAACGGCUCCUCCAGUGUUUCUGUGGCCAGGCAUGCAGGGCGGGAUGGUGCAGAGUGGUUCAGCACUGUAUUGUCCAUAUGAAGCGGGGCUCACCCCGUCAGGACCCCAACUGGGUCUGGCAGCUGUGGAUGCACUGCCCACAGCCUGGUCUGCAGCUUCCUCAUGGCAGCCAGCGGUGAGAAGCGUCCCUUCAGGAGGGUAACUGCCUUAAGCACAGACCAGAAUGCCCAAGCUUCUCCCACACCCAGGUUAACACCUUAGAAAUAUCCUUCCAAGUAUAAAUUGUAACCCUUAAUAUGAAAUAAGUAAGGUAUAUAUCAAAGAUCGCUAAUAUCACAUGUUCUUAAAAAUGAUCAUAAUCAUAAUAACUCCUCAGGCUUUGGAAAAAAAAUGUUGUCGAUCUAAUGCAAUUCUCUGUUUGUACAGAAUUUUAUAUCCUUAUUAUUAAAUAUUUCCAUUAUGCUAUUGCUGGAAUAUUUUAAGAAGUAAUAUAAUCUGUUGUAAUAUAAAGAAGAGUAACAGCAUAGCUAUUUUGCAAAAUACGUUCCAGCUGAACGAGCUAAUUAGCUUUUAAUAAUGAGACUCAGCCAAUGGAUUUAC